AGUGAACGCUGGCGGUAGGCCUAACACAUGCAAGUCGAACGGCAGCACAGUAAGAGCUUGCUCUUACGGGUGGCGAGUGGCGGACGGGUGAGGAAUACAUCGGAAUCUACUUUUUCGUGGGGGAUAACGUAGGGAAACUUACGCUAAUACCGCAUACGACCUACGGGUGAAAGCAGGGGAUCUUCGGACCUUGCGCGAUUGAAUGAGCCGAUGUCGGAUUAGCUAGUUGGCGGGGUAAAGGCCCACCACGGCGACGAUCCGUAGCUGGUCUGAGAGGAUGAUCAGCCAAACUGGAAAUGAGCGACGUUCCAAACCCCUACGGGGGAGAGCAUGGGGGAAUAUGGGACAAGGGGCGAAAGCCUAAUCCAGCCAUACCGGGGGGGUGAAGAAGGCAUUCGGGUUGUAAAGGCCUUUUGGUGGGAAAAAAAAGCAUCAGGUUAAUACCCCGAUGUUCUGACGGGACCCAAAGAAAAAGCAACGGCGAACUUCGG
Molecule: ribosomal RNA, 491 nt
Filed under: uncultured bacterium
Lineage: Bacteria
Description: partial 16S ribosomal RNA
Rfam family: Bacterial small subunit ribosomal RNA
Source: RNAcentral